CGCAUACAAACAUGUUCUUUAUGCACACGGUCUACGUUAAUAAAUAUCACCUGCACUGAACACCAAAAAAAACUUCCUUUUAAACAACUCUGAGUUUUCCCUAUAAAACUAAUUAAUUGAACUGAGAAAGAGCUUAAUUUAUAUCUUUACAUCUAUAGCACACCUACGCAAUAAGCCACCAAAAGACUUUCGGAAAUAGAUGUUGAAACUGAUACCUUCUUCACGUGAAACGCCGCGGAGACACUCCCCCGAAACCCUCUUGGCUGUUCCAUCGGUAACACUUUCUUGUGAUUAGUUGUCAAGGUGGAAAUUCAACAGCAAGUCAGAGUCUCUGAAUGGAAGAGGAAAGGAGCAGGAGGCUAAGAUCCACUUAGGAGGAGAGUCCCAGGUGAAUCUACGUGGACCACCAACAUAAG
RNAcentral lists this long non-coding RNA (416 nucleotides) under Equus caballus (horse). RNAcentral's name for it is "lncRNA (ENSECAG00000042587.2)". Lineage: Eukaryota; Metazoa; Chordata; Mammalia; Perissodactyla; Equidae. The record is from RNAcentral.